GAUCAACGCUAGCGGCAGGCAUAAUACAUGCAAGUUGAACGGGAUUAGUUGUAGCAAUAUGACUAUGAGAGUAGCGCACGGGUGCGUAACGCGUAUGCAACCUGCCUCCAACUGGGGAAUAGCCCCUCGAAAGAGGGAUUAAUACCGCAUAAAAUAGUGAAUAGGCAUCUAUUUACUAUUAAAACUACGGUGGUUGGAGAUGGGCAUGCGUGACAUUAGCUAGUUGGUAGGGUAAUGGCCUACCAAGGCUACGAUGUCUAGGGGGUCUGAGAGGAUGUCCCCCCACACUGGUACUGAGAUACGGACCAGACUCCUACGGGAGGCAGCAGUAGGGAAUAUUGGUCAAUGGAGGCAACUCUGAACCAGCCAUGCCGCGUGCAGGAUGACGGCCCUAUGGGUUGUAAACUGCUUUUGUACGGGAAGAAACCUCAUUACGUGUAAUGAGUUGACGGUACCGUGAGAAUAAGGAUCGGCUAACUUCGUGCCAGCCGCCGCGGUAA
Molecule: ribosomal RNA, 500 nt
Filed under: uncultured bacterium
Lineage: Bacteria
Description: partial 16S ribosomal RNA
Rfam family: Bacterial small subunit ribosomal RNA
Source: RNAcentral